RNAcentral lists this ribosomal RNA (443 nucleotides) under uncultured bacterium. Its description in RNAcentral is "partial 16S ribosomal RNA". It matches the Rfam family "Bacterial small subunit ribosomal RNA", at positions 338 to 795 of the family's 1533-position model. The record is from RNAcentral.
CCUACGGGAGGCAGCAGUGGGGAAUAUUGGGCAAUGGGCGCAAGCCUGACCCAGCAACGCCGCGUGAAGGAAGAAGGCUUUCGGGUUGUAAACUUCUUUUCUCAGGGACGAAGCAAGUGACGGUACCUGAGGAAUAAGCCACGGCUAACUACGUGCCAGCAGCCGCGGUAAUACGUAGGUGGCAAGCGUUAUCCGGAUUUACUGGGUGUAAAGGGCGUGUAGGCGGGAAAGCAAGUCAGAUGUGAAAACCAUGGGCUCAACCUGUGGCCUGCAUUUGAAACUGUUUUUCUUGAGUACUGGAGAGGCAGACGGAAGUCCUAGUGUAGCGGUGAAAUGCGUAGAGAUUAGGAGGAACACCAGUGGCGAAGGCGGUCUGCUGGACAGCAACUGACGCUGAGGCGCGAAAGCGUGGGGAGCAAACAGGAUUAGAUACCCCUGUAGUC